RNAcentral lists this ribosomal RNA (253 nucleotides) under uncultured bacterium. Its description in RNAcentral is "partial 16S ribosomal RNA". It matches the Rfam family "Bacterial small subunit ribosomal RNA", at positions 524 to 776 of the family's 1533-position model. The record is from RNAcentral.
UACGGGGGGGGCAAGCGUUGUUCGGAAUUACUGGGCGUAAAGGGCUCGUAGGCGGCCAACUAAGUCAGACGUGAAAUCCCUCGGCUUAACCGGGGAACUGCGUCUGAUACUGGAUGGCUUGAAUCCGGGAGAGGGAUGCGGAAUUCCAGGUGUAGCGGUGAAAUUCGUAGAUAUCGGGAGGAACACCGGUGGCGAAGGCGGCGACCUGGGUCGAGACUGACGCUGAAGCGCGAAAGCGUGGGGAGCAAACAGG